UUUCCCGUUUGAAAGGUUUUACACUAGUCAUUUUUUGGGCCCUUUAUAGCUUGCUGUUCGGUGUGAGCCAACGCUCUGUGUUGAAGACCGUACUUUGACCUAUAAUGGUUUACUUUUACAAAUUGUCAUUUGGAUGGGGAGUUGUCUCAUUGGUACUCAUACCACAUCUUCUUAUAUCUGUAAGCAUAUUUUUCCAGGCGAGGGAUUCAGGCUCAAAAGAGUCUAUUAUAAGU
This 233-nucleotide long non-coding RNA is filed under the name Mytilus galloprovincialis (Mediterranean mussel). Lineage: Eukaryota; Metazoa; Mollusca; Bivalvia; Mytilida; Mytilidae. The record is from RNAcentral.